AACGCACAUUGCGCCCUUUGGUAUUCCGAAGGGCAUGCCUGUUCGAGCGUCAUUUAUCAACCAUCAAGCUCGGCUUGUUGUUGAGCCUCGCACCGCCCCGCGGCGGUGGGCUCAAAAGAGAACGGCAGGGUUUAUGUGGACCUCGGAUGCAGCGAGCUCCUCAAGCACGCGUCUGAAAGCGGCCCGCAGGCUCGGCCUCAAUCACGCCUCUUCAGGUUGACCUCGAAUCAGGCAGGGAAACCCGCUGAACUUAA
This 254-nucleotide unclassified non-coding RNA is filed under the name uncultured fungus. Its description in RNAcentral is "partial contains 5.8S ribosomal RNA, internal transcribed spacer 2, and large subunit ribosomal RNA". The stretch from base 1 to 52 matches the Rfam family "5.8S ribosomal RNA", at positions 103 to 154 of the family's 154-position model. Lineage: Eukaryota; Fungi. The record is from RNAcentral.